Molecule: long non-coding RNA, 3434 nt
Organism: Ictidomys tridecemlineatus (thirteen-lined ground squirrel)
Lineage: Eukaryota; Metazoa; Chordata; Mammalia; Rodentia; Sciuridae
Source: RefSeq, a predicted model, not a curated record
GGGCCCAGGGGGACCUGAGAGGACUUGAGGGGGCCGGCCAGGGGCACCUGAGGUGGAUGAGGGGACCUGAGUAGAUUUGAGGGGACCUGAAGUGGCUGGAGGACCUGAGAGGGCCGAGGUGGCUGCAGGGGCUGCGGGUGGAUGGAGCACAGGGUCCUGGGGGACCAGGAGGCUGAUCUCAAGGAGCUGGGGGGUCCUCACAGUGUGGGGUGACCAGAGGGGGUUCCUGAGAGGUGGAGCGACUUCCUGAGAAUGCAAGGUGACUGGUGGUCCCUAUGGAAGGGACUAAGCGGGCACCACAAGUCGGGGUCCCCAGCAGGCUGCUGAGGGGUGAAGCCCAAGGGGGGUAUAUUCCACCUGGGGGCCUCAGGGUUAGGGAGGUGGCUCUGAGGGACGGAGGGGGCCUAGGAAGCGGGAUCCCUGUGGGAGGGUCAAACCCCUGGGAGUGUGCCCUUCAGUGGUGGCAGUAACCAGGACUUGGGGCAAGGGAGGCUGGACUAGGAGUGGAGGAUCACUGACGGGUGGGCAGGGUGCAAGAGGAAAGGGCACUGUGCUCCAGCCCAGACCUCCCUUGAGAGUGUGGCACACCAGGCUCCAGGUCUGUGACCCCCACUGGGAUCUGAUAAGCCCACUGAAGAUGUCCAGAAACACCCUGUGAGCAGCUAGGACACCUGCACCUUGGACUUCAACUGGCUGCUUCUACUUUGGCCUAAGCUCUUAAAUUAAUUCAGUGGUUUUAUUGGUGACUUUCAUUCUAAGAUUAAGUCCCAAAAUGUUUCAAAAUGAGAAACCUAGAUGGUUCUUCCGUUUCUUUCAAGGAUUCAUUUGUGAUUGGUACAGAUGGUGUUGAAGGAGCUCCUAGCAGGGUGGGGAGCCCUAUCUGUGGUAUUAGGGCAAGCCCCUCAGAAAGAGGGUCUGUCCACCCCAGGACAGAGGUUGGGUCAUUCUGAGCCAGAGAGACCUCCCUCCACAUGGUAGGCAGGUCAGGACCACUGCUCAGGAUGCUCCACCAACAGCCUUAUAGCAGCAGGGUCGCCUCGUUCACCUAAGCAAUCCAGGUGGGAGCUGGAGCCCCACAGUCCUGUGGCUGGCCAGCACUCCUGCCCCACUGCACCCAAAGUACAGAUCCAGAAGUAAAGACAUAGCACCACAGCCAGGGUCACCCAGUGAUCAGUCCUGAGCAAAGUCCCACCUUCCUAUCCAUAAGGAAGAGGUUUCUCUGGCUCAGAAGGACCAGAAACUGGAAAUCCCUCCAAACACAAAAUUCAGCUAUGGUGGAAGCAGGCCCAGCCAUGGGGCCCUGACUACGGCACAGCACCCAACCAGGAACUGCAAACACUGUCUCUGCUCCACAGGUGUCUGCUUAUCUGAGACUAAAUGUGCCAGGGAGAUGGAGAUCCACUACCUGAGCAGGACUCAACAGCACAGCUUGUCUACAUGCAGCAGUGGCUACUGUUGGCUGGAGCGACUACUUCAGAGUUGGAAAUAGUUAAGACAAAUCGGUUGUGCAACCAAGGCCUCACAAGGGUGUCGUACUUGAGAAUAUAUUUCAUGUGAGCCACAUGACACACCCAUCUUGAAGAAAUGAGGGCUGCAGAGUAUGUGUUGGACCUGUGCCCACGCCGCCCUCAGCCGGCUCCAGCUGGCCAUCUGAGCUCUGGUGUACAGUCUCAGCCACUCAAGUGGUAAGAAGAUGCUCCCUGGCAAGCCAAGAACCACAUAGACACAGAGGCCCUCAGCAAGAUCCUACAUCCAGCCACCCUUCAGCGUCCCCCUUGGGAAAUCUGAUGGGACUCUCAAAACAACCUGAUGCUCAGCUUCUACCUUCAUCCCCAAGCAACGCCGUCAUGCCCCCUCUGUAAUGGAAAGAAUGUCUCCUAGAAGGACAUGUCCUCAGCUACAGUACCUGUGACUGUGACCUGGUUUGGAAGUAGAGUCUUUGCAUAUGUAUCAAGGUCAGGUUACGGGGUGGGCUCUAACCCAAUGACUGGCGUCUUCUGGAUCAGAUAUACAGUGGGAAGAUGGCCACGUUGAGGGUGGAGACAGAGUCUGGAGUGGUAUGUGUGGCAUCAGGUUGGAGGAUUGCCAAGGGUGACCCAGGAGCACCAAGGACUGGCAGCCACAGGAGCUGGAAGAGGCAGGAAGGACCCUCCUAAACAGGUUUCAGAGGGAGGCAGCUCUGCCAACCCUGGUGUCAGGCUUCUGGCCUCCAGAACUCUGAGACAAGGAGCAUCUACCACUUUAAAAUGCUCAGUCUCAGGUCUGCCAUGAGCGCAUCCCGUCAGUCACAGGCACCCUCGCACUUCCCAAGAGAGGGGCAGGCCCUACACCCGGGUCAGCUCCACCUGGAAAUCCUGGGGCUCCCCUUUCACAGUGUGUCCAGAACCAGUUCUGUGACCAGCUCCCCAGGGUGAGCCACCACCUCCCACCUGUCUCUCUCCAGGACCCCGUUACUCUGCUUCAUCCUGGCACCUCUGUUCUAUGCAACAGCCCAGCAAAUCCUGUCACUUCUGUGCUGAGACACUACCUGACUCACCGUCUCCCUCAGAAUCAAAGCCAAAGCCCUCAACUUAACAAUGAAAAACAAAGUGACUAAAAACUGAACCAAGGACUUGAACAGACGAUUCUCCAAAGAAGAUAUUCAGAUGGCCGAUGAGCACCUGUAAGACCCUAAGCAGCAUCAGCCACCAAGGACUGAGACGCCAGGGUACCUCGCCAGGUAGCGAGCAUCGGCCAGGGCCUGGGGAUGCUGCAGGCUUCACACUGCGGGGGACUGGGUGGGUGAUGCUGCUGCUGUGUGGAGGAGCAGAUGCUCCUUUCGCAUCCAACACAACUCUUUUGCCCCAGGUACUCACCCAGGAGAAAGAAGACACGUCUCAUCUGAAAUCUAUGUGUAAAGGUCCACGGCUAUGUCACUCAAAGAAGCCAAAAUGUAAAAACAAAAUAAAGUGUGGUGUGCAUAUAAAUGGGAUGAGACUUGACAAUAACAGCGAAUGAACUUGUGACGUGGAUGAGCCUUGAAAACAUCUUGCUCAGUGAGAGAAGCCACUCACUAUGGGAAACGUUCCCAAUCGGCAAAUGUGUAAAACAGGUUUAUCUGUAAAACAGGUUUAUGGAAGGAGCUUGGGAGGGAGGGAUGGGGAGCGAUGCUGAGGGCAGUGGCUUCGUCUGUGACUCACAAAACUGUCCACAACACUGCAGGAAGGCUCGCACAUCCUCCAGAGUGCUGAUGCCACAGAGCUGCACACGUCUCGGGGAGCAUGUGAGUGCAUGCUGUGCUUCAGCAACACUAAAAACUUUAAACACACUGGAUAAAUAAUUACAUAAACAUAAUUUUAAAAUAAGACCAGAGAGGGCCUGAGGUUGUGGCUCAGUCGUACAGCGCUUGCCUCGCACCUGCCUUGCACAUGUGAGGCCCUGGGUUCAAUACUCAG